This 305-nucleotide ribosomal RNA is filed under the name uncultured bacterium. Its description in RNAcentral is "bacterial SSU rRNA". It matches the Rfam family "Bacterial small subunit ribosomal RNA", at positions 333 to 652 of the family's 1533-position model. The record is from RNAcentral.
UAAACCCUACGGGGCGCAGCAGUGGGGAAUAUUGGGCAAUGGGCGCAAGCCUGACCCAGCAACGCCGCGUGAAGGAAGAAGGCUUUCGGGUUGUAAACUUCUUUUCUCAGGGACGAAGCAAGUGACGGUACCUGAGGAAUAAGCCACGGCUAACUACGUGCCAGCAGCCGCGGUAAUACGUAGGUGGCAAGCGUUAUCCGGAUUUACUGGGUGUAAAGGGCGUGUAGGCGGGACUGCAAGUCAGAUGUGAAAACCACGGGCUCAACCUGUGGCCUGCUUUUGAAACUGUAGUUCUUGAGUACUGG